RNAcentral lists this transfer RNA (63 nucleotides) under Rattus norvegicus (Norway rat). It matches the Rfam family "tRNA". Rfam says of the family: Transfer RNA (tRNA) molecules are approximately 80 nucleotides in length. Their secondary structure includes four short double-helical elements and three loops (D, anti-codon, and T loops). Lineage: Eukaryota; Metazoa; Chordata; Mammalia; Rodentia; Muridae. The record is from Rfam by way of RNAcentral.
GGGGAUUUAGCUCAGUGGUAGAGCGCUUGUCUAGCAAGCACAAGGCCCUGAGUUCAGUCCCCA